Molecule: transfer RNA, 68 nt
Filed under: Phrynosoma platyrhinos (Desert horned lizard)
Lineage: Eukaryota; Metazoa; Chordata; Lepidosauria; Squamata; Phrynosomatidae
Description: tRNA-OTHER
Source: RNAcentral
AGCAUGGUGUAGUGGUUUGAGCAUUGGACUACAACUCUGGAGUCCUGGGUUUGAAUCCCUGCAUGCUC